Molecule: long non-coding RNA, 290 nt
Organism: Labeo rohita (rohu)
Lineage: Eukaryota; Metazoa; Chordata; Actinopteri; Cypriniformes; Cyprinidae
Exons: 3
Source: RefSeq, a predicted model, not a curated record
CCCGUGCAGAAGAAAAAGCGUUUUGCUCUGUGUGAUUUCUGAAGGCUGUUGUGGAUCUCUCAUGUAUCUCAUGGAAACUGGAAGUAAACACACGAAGAGAUGGUGAGAGAGAGAUGAAGACACAAACCAGUGAAAACAUGAAGCUGGAGAAGCUCAUCAGAUGGAGCAGCAACAAUGAUAUAAAACCGAACUUCUCUGCUGAUCCAAACACACCUGUGGAGAGUUGCUGUCAUCAACUACAGUAUCAAACAUGAUGCAAGGUUGUGAAUAGAUUAAAUGAAAUCCAUCAG